AGACGAAUCUAUUAAGCCUAAUUAGUCCAUGAUUUGACAAUGUGGUGCUACAGUAACCAUUUGCUAAUGAUGGAUUAAUUAGGCUUAAUAGAUUCGUCUCGUGAUUUAGCCUAGGGGUUCUGCUAUUAGUUUUGUAAUUAGCUCAUGUUUAAUCCUCCUAAUUAGCAUCCGAACAUCCGACGUGACAGGGCUAAAGUUUAGCCCUUG
Molecule: long non-coding RNA, 207 nt
Filed under: Setaria italica (foxtail millet)
Lineage: Eukaryota; Viridiplantae; Streptophyta; Magnoliopsida; Poales; Poaceae
Description: long non-coding RNA (SITA_LNC002166)
Source: RNAcentral